This 465-nucleotide ribosomal RNA is filed under the name uncultured bacterium. Its description in RNAcentral is "partial 16S ribosomal RNA". It matches the Rfam family "Bacterial small subunit ribosomal RNA", at positions 28 to 507 of the family's 1533-position model. The record is from RNAcentral.
GACGAACGCUGGCGGUGUGCUUAACACAUGCAAGUCGAACGGUAAGGCCCUUUCGGGGGUACGCGAGUGGCGAACGGGUGAGUAACACGUGAGUAACCUGCCCUCAUCUCUGGGAUAACAGUCGGAAACGGUUGCUAAUACUGGAUAUGAGCCUGCCAGGCAUCUUGUGGGGUGGAAAGAUUUUUUGGUUGGGGAUGGACUCGCGGCCUAUUAGCUUGGUGGUGGGGUAGGGGCUCUCCAAGGAUUCGACGGGUAGCCGGCCCGAGGGGGCGAACGGCCAAAAUUGGGCUGGGGAUCGGGCCAAGCCCCCACGGGGGGCAGCAGGGGGGAAUAAUGCCAAAUGGACCGGAGUCCGGUGCAGCAACGCCGCGGGCGGGAAUACGGGCUUCGGGUUGGUAAACGCUUUCAACCGUGGCCGAGCCGUGUGUGACGGUAACAGGAGAAGAAGCACCGGCUAACUACGUG